CUGGAAAGUCAUGAAGAUGCUGCCCAUUGCUGGCUCCAGAGCCACAUUAUUUUAGCCACAAUCCCCACCAGCAAAAUGGAUGCUCCUCGUCCUGCCACACCACACCCUGGGGUCUCUGUUAUUGCUCUUCUAGAAAAAUAAAAUGCUCUGUGGCUGUUUGUUGGCAGAAACAUUACCUCUAUCUCAUUUGGAAUUCAAGCUGAAAGGGGCUCUGGGAAAUGUAGGCUUCAGCUUUUUUUGGAUCCACCAGUGAGUCACGGCACACCUGUGUGCACAAAUGGGUUACAAGUGUGUUAAGAGAUAGCCAUCUUGGACCGGGGGUGGUGGCUCACGCCUAUAAUCCCAGCACUUUGGAAGGCCAAAGGCGG
This 368-nucleotide long non-coding RNA is filed under the name Homo sapiens (human). RNAcentral's name for it is "HSALNT0046279". Lineage: Eukaryota; Metazoa; Chordata; Mammalia; Primates; Hominidae. The record is from RNAcentral.